Long non-coding RNA from Suricata suricatta (meerkat), 1361 nucleotides. RefSeq lists it as uncharacterized. Lineage: Eukaryota; Metazoa; Chordata; Mammalia; Carnivora; Herpestidae. The transcript is spliced from 3 exons. The record is from RefSeq and is a predicted model, not a curated record.
UGAGCCACCCAGACACCCCAAUACGUUAGAGCACUACAAAACCACAUCCAGAGUUCCCGGUGCAGAAACUCACCCCUAAGGGAGCCUGACAAUUCCUGGAGGGCAGACUCCAGGCCCGGUCCUCAUCCUACUCUUCAGAAGCCGUACAAGUAGUCUGUUUUCACGAGUUGCUUAUUCGAAUGAAUAAAAAGAAAAAAGAAAGGGAAACAGAGCUACAUGGGCCAUCGGGAGGGCCAGCGGCUGUGUAACGCUGCUCGUGGCCCAGAAUACUUACCUGAAUAAAUAGAGCAUCUGAAAAGUCCUUGUCCGUCUUCAGCGACAACAGGGAAAACAGGAGAAGGGGGACUUCACGGUCUGUUUCCGUGUGCACAGUGUUUGCAGUGUGAUUCGAUGAUUCCUGAAAAGCCUUUUGGGGUGUAAGCGUGAGCCUGGAAUUAAGUAGUGGGAAAGCGCCCACGGACCGGAGAUGGACAGUCCGUGGGGUGUGCCGGCAGGCAGCCUUGCUCUGUGCAGGUGAAGCUGUGAAGGGAGCAGAAAGGAUGGCAGGAGGGAAUCAAGAACAGAAAACUGUUAGAUCAUGAAAUGAGGAAAGAGAAGACUUGUGUUCAGAGUUCAAAGACAGCCUUGUAAGCGGUCCGUCAGCUGACACGACAGGAAUAAUCCGCCUCCCACUCCCGCCCCACUUCCUCUUGGGAGGCCUGGCCCCUGCCCAGUGGCGGGGCCCUUCUCCGCACCGGGUCCCUUGACCUCUGCGGCCUGGUAACCAGACUUGACUUUCUCCAAUCGCUCAGCUGACCAGGUUUCAACGUUUCAGCCAGCUGGUGCCUCAUGUCAGCUUUCACUGAAUGGAAGGGCCCCAGCCAGACCCCGUGGCUCCAUCCGGGGCAGGAAGCUGGCAGGCCUCCUCGGGGUCCUGGUGGGCAUGCGUGAAAUACGUGGUGUGAAAACACGAAGUCGUGGUGGCACCUUAGCCCCGCUGCAGAAAGAACUCCCUGCCCAGCCAGAGAGACGCUGUUUGCACAGAUGAUGUGCGUGAAUUGCCUUGAAACCCCAGCAAUGGAACGAAGUCCUGAAACAGUCCCCUGAAGAGUGUGCCCCCACCCCCGGGAGGAAGCAGCCAGACGUCCUGGGUUCGCAUCUCGGCCCUGCCACUUAACGAAAGUUGGUUAGGCUACUAUGCCUCUGUCAUCUUACCCGGAAAAUGGGGUGAUGCACCCUAAGGAUGUUGUCAGGAUUACGUGAAUAAGUGAACAUGAAGUCCCCAGGAAAACCCCUGGCAUGCAGGAAGGUCUGGGCAAACAUCAUUUUAAAACCUGGGAAGAGGGGUGCCUGGGUGGCUCUGGCCCUGAUCAGGGAGCCUG